GAUGAACGCUGGCGGCGUGCCUAAUACAUGCAAGUCGAGCGAACAGACGAGGAGCUUGCUCCUCUGACGUUAGCGGCGGACGGGUGAGUAACACGUGGAUAACCUACCUAUAAGACUGGUAUAACUUCGGGAAACCGGAGCUAAUACCGGAUAAUAUAUUGAACCGCAUGGUUCAAUAGUGAAAGUCGGUUUUGCUGUCACUUCUAGCUGGAUCCGCGCCGCAUUAGCUAGUUGGUAAGGUAACGGCUUACCAAGGCAACGAUGCGUAGCCGACCGGAGAGGGUGGUCGGCGACACGGGAAGUGAGACGCGCUCCAGACUCCUACGGGAGGCAGCAGUAGGGAAUCUUCCGCAAUGGGCGAAAGCCUGACGGAGCAACGCCGCGUGAGUGAUGAAGGUCUUCGGAUCGUAAAACUCUGUUACUAGGGAAGAACAAAUGUGUAAGUAAAUAUGCACGUCUUGACGGUACCUGGUCAAAAAGCCACGGCUAACUACGUG
RNAcentral lists this ribosomal RNA (497 nucleotides) under uncultured bacterium. RNAcentral describes it as "partial 16S ribosomal RNA". It matches the Rfam family "Bacterial small subunit ribosomal RNA", at positions 28 to 507 of the family's 1533-position model. The record is from RNAcentral.